RNAcentral lists this ribosomal RNA (497 nucleotides) under uncultured bacterium. Its description in RNAcentral is "partial 16S ribosomal RNA". It matches the Rfam family "Bacterial small subunit ribosomal RNA", at positions 28 to 507 of the family's 1533-position model. The record is from RNAcentral.
GAUGAACGCUGGCGGCGUGCCUAAUACAUGCAAGUCGAGCGAACAGACGAGGAGCUUGCUCCUCUGACGUUAGCGGCGGACGGGUGAGUAACACGUGGAUAACCUACCUAUAAGACUGGGAUAACUUCGGGAAACCGGAGCUAAUACCGGAUAAUAUAUUGAACCUCAUGGUUCAAUAGUGAAAGACGGUUUUGCUGUCACUUAUAGAUGGAUCCGCGCCGCAUUAGCUAGUUGGUAAGGUAACGGCUUACCAAGGCAACGAUGCGUAGCCGACCUGAGAGGGUGAUCGGCCACACUGGAACUGAGACGCGGUCCAGACGCCUACGGGAGGCAGCAGUAGGGAAUCUUCCGCAAUGGGCGAAAGCCUGACGGAGCAACGCCGCGUGAGUGAUGAAGGUCUUCGGAUCGUAAAACUCUGUUAUUAGGGAAGAACAAAUGUGUAAGUAACUAUGCACGUCUUGACGGUACCUAAUCAGAAAGCCACGGCUAACUACGUG